Molecule: transfer RNA, 75 nt
Rfam family: tRNA
About the family: Transfer RNA (tRNA) molecules are approximately 80 nucleotides in length. Their secondary structure includes four short double-helical elements and three loops (D, anti-codon, and T loops).
CGGUGCGCUGGCGCAAUGGUAGCGCGUAGUCCUCCUAAGACUAAGGCUCAGGGUUCGAGUCCCUGGUGUAUCGGC